CAGGCUUAACACAUGCAAGUCGAGGGGCAGCAUGGUCUUAGCUUGCUAAGGCCGAUGGCGACCGGCGCACGGGUGAGUAACACGUAUCCAACCUGCCGUCUACUCUUGGACGGCCUUCUGAAAGGAAGAUUAAUACAAGAUGGCAUCAUGAGUCCGCAUGUUCACAUGAUUAAAGGUAUUCCGGUAGACGAUGGGGAUGCGUUCCAUUAGAUAGUAGGCGGGGUAACGGCCCACCUAGUCUUCGAUGGAUAGGGGUUCUGAGAGGAAGGUCCCCCACAUUGGAACUGAGACACGGUCCAAACUCCUACGGGAGGCAGCAGUGAGGAAUAUUGGUCAAUGGGCGAGAGCCUGAACCAGCCAAGUAGCGUGAAGGAUGACUGCCCUAUGGGUUGUAAACUUCUUUUAUAAAGGAAUAAAGUCGGGUAUGCAUACCCGUUUGCAUGUACUUUAUGAAUAAGGAUCGGCUAACUCCGUGCCAGCAGCCGCGGUAAUACGGAGGAUCCGAGCGUUAUCCGGAUUUAUUGGGUUUAAAGGGAGCGUAGAUGGAUGUUUAAGUCAGUUGUGAAAGUUUGCGGCUCAACCGUAAAAUUGCAGUUGAUACUGGAUAUCUUGAGUGCAGUUGAGGCAGGCGGAAUUCGUGGUGUAGCGGUGAAAUGCUUAGAUAUCACGAAGAACUCCGAUUGCGAAGGCAGCCUGCUAAGCUGCAACUGACAUUGGGGCUCGAAAGUGUGGGUAUCAAACAGGAUUAGAUACCCUGGUAGUCCACACGGUAAACGAUGAAUACUCGCUGUUUGCGAUAUACGGCAAGCGGCCAAGCGAAAGCGUUAAGUAUUCCACCUGGGGAGUACGCCGGCAACGGUGAAACUCAAAGGAAUUGACGGGGGCCCGCACAAGCGGAGGAACAUGUGGUUUAAUUCGAUGAUACGCGAGGAACCUUACCCGGGCUUAAAUUGCAGAUGAAUUACGGUGAAAGCCGUAAGCCGCAAGGCAUCUGUGAAGGUGCUGCAUGGUUGUCGUCAGCUCGUGCCGUGAGGUGUCGGCUUAAGUGCCAUAACGAGCGCAACCCUUGUUGUCAGUUACUAACAGGUUCCGCUGAGGACUCUGACAAGACUGCCAUCGUAAGAUGUGAGGAAGGUGGGGAUGACGUCAAAUCAGCACGGCCCUUACGUCCGGGGCUACACACGUGUUACAAUGGGGGGUACAGAGGGCCGCUACCACGCGAGUGGAUGCCAAUCCCCAAAACCUCUCUCAGUUCGGACUGGAGUCUGCAACCCGACUCCACGAAGCUGGAUUCGCUAGUAAUCGCGCAUCAGCCACGGCGCGGUGAAUACGUUCCCGGGCCUUGUACACACCGCCCGUCAAGCCAUGGGAGCCGGGGGUACCUGAAGUGCGUAACCGCGAGGAGCGCCCUAGGGUAAAACUGGUGACUGGGGCUAAGUCGU
This 1442-nucleotide ribosomal RNA is filed under the name uncultured organism. RNAcentral's name for it is "16S ribosomal RNA". It matches the Rfam family "Bacterial small subunit ribosomal RNA". The record is from RNAcentral.